Molecule: long non-coding RNA, 1083 nt
Filed under: Homo sapiens (human)
Lineage: Eukaryota; Metazoa; Chordata; Mammalia; Primates; Hominidae
Description: HSALNT0209666
Source: RNAcentral
CCACUUGUUGAUGGGGCUGUUUGUUUUCCUUGUAAAUUUGUUUGAGUUCUUUGUAGAUUCUGGAUAUUAGCCCUUUGUCAGAUGAGUAGAUUAGUGCCUCCCAGUUAUUUCUUGGGGCCCCUAAAAGAAUCACUCUCACAUAGGCAUAGAAAUAUCUUUCAGCUCCAGCCACCAUGGUCCCUUUUGCUGCGUUCUUUCUCCUCUGCUUCUUGGCACUUGAUAUAUUCUUGCACAUCAUUUUUAAAGACAGUCAUCAUUUCUUUUCUUUAAAAGAUCUUCAAGUACUUCUUGUCUCCCACUCCAGACUUUCUUUUUUUUCCACUCCACACUUUCAAAUCAAAAGUCAAACUUCCAAUGUAGAAAAUGCACAGGAGGUAUAGGAAGAGGGUAAACAACAUAAUGAGGAAACAACCAAGCACAUCCCGAAGGUGUGACAGCCUGCAGGACAACUGGUUUCAUCUUUUCAAUUAGUCUACGUUGCAGUUGGUGCUACGUUCAAAUUAAGACUUAAGGGACACAACAAGAUGCCACAGCGUUCUGCGUUAGAUUCUGUAAAGGACAUUUUAGGGUCACUGGGAAAUUUGAUUUUGAUCUAGUUGUUGUAUGGGAUAAAAACUGAAAAUAUCCCAAUGGAAAGGUGGAGCUUAUUGACUGAUAUAGUUUGGCUGUGUCCCCACCCAAAUCUCAUCUUGAGUUGUAGCUCCCAUAAUCCCCACAUGCCAUGGGAGGGACUCAGUAGGAGGUAAUUGAAUCAUGAGGGUGGGUUUUUCCCAUGCUGUUUUAAUGAUAGUGAAUACGUCUCACAAGAUCUGAUGGUUUUUAAAGGUCAGAUCCCCCGCACAAACUCUCUUGCCUGCCGCCAUAUAAGACGUGCCUUUGCUCCUCCUUUGCCUUCUGCCAUGAUUGCGAGGCCUCCCCAGCCAUGUGUAACUGUGAGUCCAUUACAUCUCUUUUUCUUUAUAAAUUACCCAGUCUUGGGUAUUUCUUCAUAGCAGUAUGAAAAUGGACUAAUACAAUGACUAAAAAAUGCAAGUAUAGUAUGAACUCAUUUAGCAAACACACACACAGAGGGAAAGAUCUGGA